CAAAUGCAAUACCAUGGCUGGCCAGGCCUGGUUUAUGCACCCAGGCUUAUGGGCAUGGGUUGAAAGUCCAUGAACAUUAAAACAGGAAUGGAAUAACUUUCUUGGUCCAGAAGAUCACCCCACAGAAAAGCCAAGGUCUGAGGCAAGUGUUGGGGAAAAGAAGUGUUCCACACAGAGGCCAAAGUAUGGACCAGUGGGAUCUCACAAUCAAAUUCCAGAAGGUUCCAUCCAUGUUGGACGGCCUGGGGGAGAAUGCUGAGCCCAUCGUGGCCAGGAAGCAGAGUGAGGAGCAGGAGAAAGGAAAUAUCCAGCAAUUUGGCUGCUGUUUACUCACCUUUCUGAAAGCUUCGUUUUGAACUGUCACGCAAUUUAUACUCCAACCAAAUACAUGACAACUGAUGGACAGCUUGCAUCAUUCUGUGGCUGUGGUAGCCUUCGGCAAUAUAUGCCAAGUGAACCUUCCAGACAUGGUAUAAAAACACAUGUCCUGGUAGAUGAGAAGACGUUUUACACCUUGAGUUUAGAAAUUUAUCCUGGAACUCUG
Molecule: long non-coding RNA, 544 nt
Organism: Chinchilla lanigera (long-tailed chinchilla)
Lineage: Eukaryota; Metazoa; Chordata; Mammalia; Rodentia; Chinchillidae
Exons: 3
Source: RefSeq, a predicted model, not a curated record